CGGACACGAAGGAGCGCUCGCCUCAGAAGGGAUGUCACAAUUUCCUGAGACGGAGGCAUCUCUGCACCACAAAGGAGACUGCGGCACUAUGCAGCCUGAACAGCACGACAAAGCAUCUGAUCUGCCUGCUUUGACAAGAUGUGGCUGGGCCUGCAGAGAGAGUGUAAGCAGACUACUGUGUUGCUGAUCAGUGCUGGUGCUGAUCUCUACGUCUGAGUUGGCCUCACAACGUCCAGGCACCACUGUGCUUUGCUUCAUUGACAAGGUAAUAUGAUAUAGACACCUUGCA
This 289-nucleotide long non-coding RNA is filed under the name Dermacentor andersoni. Its description in RNAcentral is "uncharacterized LOC126528404". The record is from RNAcentral. Lineage: Eukaryota; Metazoa; Arthropoda; Arachnida; Ixodida; Ixodidae.